This is a long non-coding RNA of Rattus norvegicus (Norway rat), 718 nucleotides long. RefSeq lists it as uncharacterized. The record is from RefSeq and is a predicted model, not a curated record. Lineage: Eukaryota; Metazoa; Chordata; Mammalia; Rodentia; Muridae.
CCUCUUCGGUUCCAGGGCUGAACAAGUCAAGACAUGUUCCUGAAAGCCAGAAAGCUGGCUCCGACCCACCUCAGCCUGACGGAGCUCCGGGGUUUGCUGCUGGUCUCAGAGAAGGACAGCCAGGGAUGGAAAGACAGAAGAAGCCAUGCAGCUGGGGACCAAACCCAGGGCUACUGCCCCAUGGCCAUGUCUGCCUGCCUGCUGCCACAGUUCCCACCAUGACAGUCACGGACUCUAACCUUCUCAAGCUAGCUGAUGGUGUAUAUGGCUGAUUCCCUCUUCAGGACUUGCCUCAGAGAGGAAGGCAUUCAGGCUCUGGCCUGUCUGCAUUGAAGGUGCACCCAGAUGGCUGAUGGGAUGGAAAAGCCCAGAUUGCUGAACCGACUUCAGGCAGGACCAGCUGAGCUGCCCAGGCCUCUGGUCUCCAUCAGACCACAUCUCCUCUUUCUGCCUAACCUGAUUCUCUUUAUACCCAGACAGGUGUGCACACUGCAAAUGCACCCCUUCCCCUCAUAUCAACCAGUGGGGAGCUUAAGUGAUCAGUGAAUUCCAAGGGAUCCUUUCCCUAGGAUAUCUCUAUACACCAGUAAUAUGAUGAUGAUGAUGAUGAUGAUGAUGAUGAUGAUGAUGAUGAUGAUGAUGGAAAAAUUCUCUGUACUGCUUGGCUCUUUACCUAUGUGGCUUUACUUAAUGAAGACUAGAAUUUAUGCCAAAGGAA